UUGCACUGACAAGUGUCCCCUUUGUUUAUUCUGUGGCCGAGGGAUCUCUUAAUGGUGCUAGAUCCCCUCUUGUUGAAAGGCCAGGCUAUCUUGUAACCUAUCCCUUCUGAUAGUUGGGUGCAAAA
Molecule: small nucleolar RNA, 125 nt
Organism: Spea bombifrons (plains spadefoot toad)
Lineage: Eukaryota; Metazoa; Chordata; Amphibia; Anura; Pelobatidae
Source: RefSeq, a predicted model, not a curated record